AUUGAACGCUGGCGGCAUGCUUUACACAUGCAAGUCGAACGGUAACAGGCCUUCGGGUGCUGACGAGUGGCGAACGGGUGAGUAAUGCAUCGGAACGUACCCAGAGGUGGGGGAUAACGCAGCGAAAGCUGUGCUAAUACCGCAUGUGAUCUGAGGAUGAAAGCGGGGGACCGAGCAGCAAUGUUUUGCCUCGCGCCUUUGGAGCGGCCGAUGUCGGAUUAGCUAGUUGGUGGGGUAAAGGCCUACCAAGGCGACGAUCCGUAGCUGGUCUGAGAGGACGACCAGCCACACUGGGACUGAGACACGGCCCAGACUCCUACGGGAGGCAGCAGUGGGGAAUUUUGGACAAUGGGCGCAAGCCUGAUCCAGCAAUGCCGCGUGAGGGAAGAAGGCCUUCGGGUUGUAAACCGCUUUUGGCAGGAACGAAACGGUGUCCGCUAAUACCGGGCGCUAAUGACGGUACCUGCAGAAUAAGCACCGGCUAACUACGUG
Molecule: ribosomal RNA, 492 nt
Filed under: uncultured bacterium
Lineage: Bacteria
Description: partial 16S ribosomal RNA
Rfam family: Bacterial small subunit ribosomal RNA
Source: RNAcentral